AAGCCAGGUGAAUCAGUGUUGUCCUUGCUAGAGGAGGCUCAGCUGCUUGAAAUCACACAUGGUGCUGGCUUAACAGUGUGUCUGAGACAGCCCCGAGCCUCCGUGUGUCCUGGAUUAAAGUGAAGGUGAAAUGUCCUGCCGCGGCCACAACAGCACUGAAAAGCUGCUUCUGUUGCUGAGGUGCUAACUUCGUGAAGCGGGGUUUCCUGGAGUGACUGGAACUAUACUUAGACGUGGCGUGGCUGGGGUGAGAUCACACAUCGGGGCCACUGUCUCCCGCCGCCCCCAGAAGAGACUGUGUAGGUGCAGGAGAAACAAGCUCGGGGCCUCAGCGCCCAGUGACGCUGCAGUGUGAGACAGUGCAGUGUGAUCGUGAUGGGAAUGAAGCUACAAUAAGCGGAAUGAGCUGAGGUCACCUGAACCCCCUCCGCAUCCGCGGUUUUCCUCCAGAAAACCAGUCUCUGAUGCAAAAAUGUUGGGCAUUUCUGCCUUAGAAAAUUAUUGAAGCUAUUAUUAUAUUUAAUCAUUUUGUUUUUAAGCAUUUUCACUAAAGAAAGAAGUGAGUGACGUGCCACCAUUGCAGUGCCACGGAAUCUUCAAUUUGAUUAUGCACUUAUUUUUACCAACUUCUAGAAUGCUGAGGAAAGGCACGGGGAGGAGUGAUAUGCCAGCUCUGCUCCUGACCUUAGUGAAGCUUCUAGCUCGUCGCCGACAUGCUGCUUUGCUAUUGCAAAUAAUGCAAGCUGAGUACUUCUCCACUGGGUAUGGUUGCUGCAUUCCUUUAUCGGUUCAUCUCUUGGUGGACUCCCAGGCUGGUUGCAUGCCUCAGCCAUUGCACAUGGCGCCACUGUAAGCACGGUGGGUGGAUAUCCUUGUGGUAUGCUGAUGUAGCUCCUUCGGAUAUAUCACAAGUGGUACAGUGCUUGUCUUAGUCUUUGGAAGAACCUCCACGUUGAUUUCCACAGUGGCUGUACUGAUUUAAAUUCUCACAGUGCCGAAGGCUUCCUUUAUGCCUUUCCAGAGUCCGUCCUUUUUGUAUUCUUGAUGAUAGCCAUUCUCACUGGGCUAAGAGGCAUCUCAGUGUAGUUCGAUUUGCAUUUCUUUCAUGGUUAAAGAUGUUGAACAUUUUCUCGUAUACUUAUUGGCCACUUGUACUUCCUCUUUGAGAACUAUCUUUUCAAUUCUUUUGCCCAUUUACUGAUUGGGCUAUUUAAUUUUUUUGGUUUUUUGAGGUCUUUGUGUUUUCUAAGUCUUAACCCUCUAUACGAAAUGAGGUAUUUUUCCUAGAAGAUAGUGAAUAUUGGAUGGUGAAAUGAAGAAUGCAAUAAACAAAUCCAAAUGACAGUGUCCAGACUGAAAUGUUCACAAAUAAAUAAGUAUCCAUAGAGCACCGCUCAUGCAACACUGGAUCUCAUAAUGAGAAAAACAAAAUCGCAGCCUGGAUAGAAGUUGUGGCUUUGUCGUAAAUCACCUAGUGGAUGUGGCCAAAUCCCUCUGCUUCUGUACCUCAGUAUCCUCAUUUCUACAAGGAGGGAUUGAAUUCAGUGUUCUUUCCAAGUUUUUUUCCAGCUCUGAAAUGGUAAUGAUCCAAGCUUGCCAAACGAGAAUGGGAAGAUUCUCCUGGCUUAGGGUUUCAUGGAAAAGCGAACGGAAGCAGGCCCAGGUGCAGGGCAGAAGGAGAAGCCAGUGGACCCCAAACCGUAGAGCAGAGGAAGCUCCAAGGAGCCUCCAGGGACGGAGGUCAAGUCCAGGACAGGACGUCUCCCUGUGAGCUGAGGAGCACCCUCCAGUCGCUGGGUCCCGCCUGGAGUCCACAAGCUGUAACCGUGGUGAUAGUUGCCAUAGAGAGGGAUAAAUAGACUGUUGUUUGGUGCAAUUACUUGGUUCCUGCAAGAAAGUUUCACACUCAAAAUAAAUAUUAUAUAUGGCUCCCAUUGGCAGUGCCUGAUCCAGAAAUAAGAACAUACAGUGUAUUUUCUGAGGUGUUAGAAGGGUUACAGUGAUGCACGUCCAUAAUAGCCCAACAAGAAUCCUUGAAAGUCAUGUGGAUUUUGGAAUUCAAAUUUUCUUUGGAUUAAAAAAAACAGACACAAGAUAUAUGCCAAAUAUUUUAUUACCUACACAGAGGUACAAUGCAGCACACUGUACUCAUGCAUAUUUAGCAAUAUUUCUGCAUUGAAAUCUAUGAGUUUUAUUGAGAAAUAAAGAACAAAUCGUUUCUCUUUAGCACUAAUUGGGUCAGAUUUCUAGAUUUUGCAGUUUAGUGGAUAAAGAACUGUGGACUAGUCGGUACUAGAGUUAAUUAAGAUCAGAGAAUCUUGGAUAAGGGAGAGAGAGCGAGAG
Molecule: long non-coding RNA, 2343 nt
Organism: Cavia porcellus (domestic guinea pig)
Lineage: Eukaryota; Metazoa; Chordata; Mammalia; Rodentia; Caviidae
Exons: 3
Source: RefSeq, a predicted model, not a curated record